This 208-nucleotide ribosomal RNA is filed under the name uncultured bacterium. Its description in RNAcentral is "partial 16S ribosomal RNA". It matches the Rfam family "Bacterial small subunit ribosomal RNA", at positions 568 to 774 of the family's 1533-position model. The record is from RNAcentral.
CUCGUAGGCGGCCAACUAAGUCGGACGUGAAAUCCCUCGGCUUAACCGGGGAACUGCGUCCGAUACUGGAUGGCUUGAGUUCGGGAGAGGGAUGCGGAAUUCCAGGUGUAGCGGUGAAAUGCGUAGAUAUCUGGAGGAACACCGGUGGCGAAGGCGGCAUCCUGGACCGACACUGACGCUGAGGAGCGAAAGCCAGGGGAAGCAAACG